AGAGUUUGAUCCUGGCUCAGAACGAACGCUGGCGGCAGGCCUCAAACAUGCAAGUCUAGGGGGUGUAGCAAUACAUCACCGGCGGACGGGUGCGUAACGCGUGGGAAUGUACCUAUUGGUUCGGAACAACUGAGGGAAACUUCAGCUAAUACCGAAUGUGCCCUUACGGGGAAAGAUUUAUCGCCAAUGGGUCAGCCCGCGUCCGAUUAGCUAGUUGGUGGGGUAACGGCCCACCAAGGCUCCGAUCGGUAGCUGUUCUGAGAGGAAGAUCAGCCACACUGGGACUGAGACACGGCCCAGACUCCUACGGGAGGCAGCAGUUGGGAAUCUUGGACAAUGGGGGAAACCCUGAUCCAGCCAUGCCGCGUGAGUGAUGAAGGCCUUCGGGUUGUAAAACUCUUUCGCGCACGACGAUAAUGACGGUAGUGCGAGAAGAAGCUCCGGCUAACUUCGUGCCAGCAGCCGCGGUAAUACGAAGGGGGCUAGCGUUGUUCGGAAUUACUGGGCGUAAAGCGCGCGCAGGCGGCUAUCCAAGUCAGUGGUGAAAGCCCGGAGCUUAACUCCGGAACUGCCAUUGAAACUGUUUAGCUGGAGUAUGAGAGAGGUGAGUGGAAUUCCCAGUGUAGAGGUGAAAUCCGUAGAUAUUGGGAAGAACACCGGUGGCGAAGGCGGCUCACUGGCUCAUUACUGACGCUCAUGCGCGACAGCGUGGGGAUCAAACAGGAUUAGAUACCCUAGUAGUCC
This 744-nucleotide ribosomal RNA is filed under the name uncultured bacterium. RNAcentral describes it as "bacterial SSU rRNA". It matches the Rfam family "Bacterial small subunit ribosomal RNA", at positions 8 to 796 of the family's 1533-position model. The record is from RNAcentral.